UAUAGGGUGCCCGAAGUAUAGGGGCCAUCUUGAUAGGAUAGUUAUGCGAACUGCCCCUAUUAGUAAUCCUUCAAAGUAGUAUAAGAACUCUUACCUUUUGCAUCAUGGGUAAACAAUUAGUAUCAAUAAAAACUUUCCCGAUUAAAAAUAUCUAUCCUCUCUCUCUAAGCCUAGGUAGAAAACUAAGCUAUAAGACAAGGAUGAACACGAUAUAUGGUACUUUUUAAAAUCUGGUUCCCAAAGAAAUAAAACAUUUUAGAAAGAAUUUUAAAAUAAUGUAUUUAGCUUAUGCUGAGUAUACAUUAGUGAGCAACUAGUCUAAAAAUAUUUCAGGAAUAAUAGUCCCCUCUGUUAUAAUAAAUUAUUAUUGACCUAAUUUAUUUAUUAAGCUUCUCUUAUUAUUUGGGUAGUUAAUUCUGAGAAUUAUAACUUGUUUACACUAGUAAAUAUACUUUUAUUAUUUCCUUACUUAAAUAACUUUUAUUAAUUUUAAAUUAAAUAUAAACUAAAUAACUUGAGAUUCUCCAAACUGUUUAACAAAGACAUAGUAAGACUGUGUCUUAUGUAUCUGCCCAAUGAAUAAUUUUUUAUGGCUUUAAAGUAGCGCAAUAAUUAGUUUAUUAAUUGUAAACCUGUAUGAAGCUAGCAUUGGUUAAUCAUGUUUAUUCUUAUCUCUUGAAUCUUAGCUAUCAGUACAAACGCUGAUAUACUCCCCGAAGACGAUAAGACCCUAAGACCUUUACCUUGUUUGGCUGGGAUAGCCCACUUAAUAUAAUAAAGAAACCUUAGUUAUUCUGAACCAAUUAUUUUGCUACACAUAGGUACCUUAGGGAUAACAGCGCGUAAUACUUUUAGAGCUCUUAUUUAAAAGAUAUUCGUGACCUCGAUGUUGAAUUAAGUAAUAUAGUGCUGCAGAAGGUGCUAUUUUAAGUCUGUUCGACUUUUCGUACUUACAUGAUUUGAGUUAAGAUCGACGUAAGUCAGAUUGGUUUCUAUCUCAGGGCUUUUACUUACUUAUUAGUACGAAAGGAAAAUAACUAAUUUUAGGUAUUUUUUUAAAUUAAUUUAUUUA
This 1072-nucleotide ribosomal RNA is filed under the name Lepeophtheirus salmonis (salmon louse). Its description in RNAcentral is "16S ribosomal RNA". Lineage: Eukaryota; Metazoa; Arthropoda; Copepoda; Siphonostomatoida; Caligidae. The record is from RNAcentral.